This 90-nucleotide transfer RNA is filed under the name Candidatus Schekmanbacteria bacterium GWA2_38_9. RNAcentral describes it as "tRNA-Ser". It matches the Rfam family "tRNA". From Rfam's summary of the family: Transfer RNA (tRNA) molecules are approximately 80 nucleotides in length. Their secondary structure includes four short double-helical elements and three loops (D, anti-codon, and T loops). Lineage: Bacteria; Candidatus Schekmaniibacteriota. The record is from RNAcentral. RNAcentral also lists the same sequence under 3 other names.
GGAGAGGUGGCCGAGCUGGCUGAAGGCAAGCGCCUGCUAAGCGUUUGUACUGGGAGACCGGUACCCAGGGUUCGAAUCCCUGCCUCUCCG